Molecule: ribosomal RNA, 253 nt
Filed under: uncultured bacterium
Lineage: Bacteria
Description: partial 16S ribosomal RNA
Rfam family: Bacterial small subunit ribosomal RNA
Source: RNAcentral
UACGGAGGGGGCUAGCGUUGUUCGGAAUUACUGGGCUUAAAGCGCGCGUAGGCGGACCUGCAAGUCGGGGGUGAAAGCCCGAGGCUCAACCUCGGAACUGCCUUCGAUACUGCGGGUCUCGAGUCCGGGAGAGGUGAGUGGAAUUCCUAGUGUAGAGGUGAAAUUCGUAGAUAUUAGGAAGAACACCAGUGGCGAAGGCGGCUCACUGGCCCGGUACUGACGCUGAGGCGCGAAAGCGUGGGGAGCAAACAGG